This 431-nucleotide ribosomal RNA is filed under the name uncultured bacterium. Its description in RNAcentral is "partial 16S ribosomal RNA". It matches the Rfam family "Bacterial small subunit ribosomal RNA", at positions 29 to 507 of the family's 1533-position model. The record is from RNAcentral.
AACGAACGCUGGCGGCAGGCCUAACACAUGCAAGUCGAGCGCCCCGCAAGGGGAGCGGCGGACGGGUGAGUAACGCGUGGGAAUAUGCCCUUUGCUACGGAAUAGUCUCGGGGAACUGGGGGUAAUACCGUAUACGCCCUUUGGGGGAAAGAUUUAUCGGCGAAGGAUUAGCCCGCGUUGGAUUAGGUAGUUGAUGGGGUAAUGGCCUACCAAGACGACGAUCCAUAGCUGGUUUGAGAGGAUGAUCAGCCACUCUGGGACUGAGACACGACCCAGACUACUACGAGAGGCAGCAGUGGGGAAUCUUAGACAAUAGGGGCAACCCUGAUCUAGCCGUGCCGCGUGAGUGAUGAAGGCCUUAGGGUUGUAAAGCUCUGUCAGCUGGGAAGAUAAUGACGGUACCAGCAGAAGAAGCCCCGGCUAACUCCGUG